UAUAGAAUCUCGUGAACCAUCGAGUCUUUGAACGCAAGUUGCGCCCGAAGCUAUUAGGCCGAGGGCACGCCUACUUGGGCGUCACAAGUCGUUGCCUCCCCACCUCCUUCAAGAGUGUUGAGGGGCAAACGAUGGCCUCUCAUGCGUCACCCCGGGCGGUUGGCACAAAUGUCAAGUCCCCGACGACGGACACCACAACAAUCGGUGGUUGUCAAACCUCAAUUGCCUGUUGUGCGCUUUCGCUGUGCUCCGGGCGGCUCGCGACGCUCGCGGCUCUACUUCGGUGGAACCUUCAACGCGACCCCAGGUCAGGCGGGGUUACCCACUAAA
RNAcentral lists this ribosomal RNA (330 nucleotides) under Crataegus uniflora. RNAcentral describes it as "eukaryotic LSU rRNA". The stretch from base 1 to 84 matches the Rfam family "5.8S ribosomal RNA", at positions 73 to 154 of the family's 154-position model. Lineage: Eukaryota; Viridiplantae; Streptophyta; Magnoliopsida; Rosales; Rosaceae. The record is from RNAcentral.